This 221-nucleotide unclassified non-coding RNA is filed under the name plant metagenome. RNAcentral describes it as "partial contains small subunit ribosomal RNA, internal transcribed spacer 1, and 5.8S ribosomal RNA". The record is from RNAcentral.
UUUCCGUAGGUGAACCUGCGGAAGGAUCAUUACAGAGUUCAUGCCCGAAAGGGUAGACCUCCCACCCUUGUGUAUUAUUACUUUGUUGCUUUGGCAGGCCUGCCCUCGGGCUGCUGGCUCCGGCCGGCUCGCGUCUGCCAGAGGACCUAAACUCUGUUUGUAUAUGAAGUCUGAGUACUAUAUAAUAGUUAAAACUUUCAACAACGGAUCUCUUGGUUCUG